RNAcentral lists this long non-coding RNA (497 nucleotides) under Ricinus communis (castor bean). Its description in RNAcentral is "long non-coding RNA (RCOM_LNC003166)". The record is from RNAcentral. Lineage: Eukaryota; Viridiplantae; Streptophyta; Magnoliopsida; Malpighiales; Euphorbiaceae.
UUAAAUUAAUUCUAAAAUCCAAAUCAAUGAUAAAAGGAUAUAAAUUGAAUAAGGAACAUAAACUAAAGUACUAAUAAUUAAACCAAAUCUUAUAGACCUUCGAUGGCAACACCCAACAGAAGAAAUAAAAUAGACAUUUCAGUGGUGGCUAAGAAGGCAAAAAGAGUCAGCAAUGGCAAGAGCAAGAACCUAGUCUAACUCCGGCGAAAGCCUUGCUCAUAAAAGCAAAAAGCAGCACUGACGAUGAUGGCUGUAGCACCCAGAUAGUGGUGGAAGCACUAACCCGAAGGACAAUAGUAUCGGCUAAACCAUUAUUAGCCUCUACUACACCAACAAUGACGCUAUUGACACCUGCUCUAUCGCACGAGCCACUUCUCCGACAACUAUAAGAGCCUAUCCUACCUGCCUUCGAAGUAAUAACUAUGACACGAAAAAGAUCACCAAACUGAGAAGGAGAAGAAAAAGGGAAAAAAAAGAGAAGGAGAGGGCCAUCGUCA